UACGUAGGGUGCGAGCGUUAAUCGGAAUUACUGGGCGUAAAGCGUGCGCAGGCGGUUUUGUAAGCCAGAUGUGAAAUCCCCGGGCUUAACCUGGGAAUGGCAUUUGGGACUGCAAGGCUGGAGUGCGGCAGAGGAGACUGGAAUUCCUGGUGUAGCAGUGAAAUGCGUAGAUAUCUGGAGGAACACCGAUGGCGAAGGCAGCCCCCUGGGAUAACACUGACGCUCAUGCACGAAAGCGUGGGGAGCAAACAGG
Molecule: ribosomal RNA, 253 nt
Filed under: uncultured bacterium
Lineage: Bacteria
Description: partial 16S ribosomal RNA
Rfam family: Bacterial small subunit ribosomal RNA
Source: RNAcentral